AUUGAACGCUGGCGGCAUGCCUUACACAUGCAAGUCGAGCGCGAAAGGGGGCAACCCCGAGUAGAGCGGCGGACGGGUGAGUAACACAUCGGAACGUGCCCAGUAGUGGGGGACAACCUCGAGAAAUCGAGGCUAAUACCGCAUACGACCCACGGGUGAAAGCGGGGGACCCAAAGGAAACUGAGGGCCUCGCGCUAUUGGAGCGGCCGAUGUCCAAUUAGCUAGUUGGCGGGGUAAGAGCCCCACCAAGGCGACGAUCGGUAGCUGGUCUGAGAGGAUGAUCAGCCACACUGGGACUGAGACACGGCCCAGACUCCUACGGGAGGCAGCAGUGGGGAAUCUUGGACAAUGGGCGCAAGCCUGAUCCAGCCAUGCCGCGUGAGUGAAGAAGGCCUUAGGGUUGUAAAGCUC
Molecule: ribosomal RNA, 411 nt
Filed under: uncultured bacterium
Lineage: Bacteria
Description: bacterial SSU rRNA
Rfam family: Bacterial small subunit ribosomal RNA
Source: RNAcentral